UCCCCGGGGGACCGCGCGCACGCGGUUGAGAGGCGGCUGUCCGGCCGCGACCCGCUGAACCUGAUCCGGCUGACACCGGCGUAGGGAGGGA
RNAcentral lists this non-coding RNA (91 nucleotides) under Sphingomonas sp. RNAcentral's name for it is "TPP sequence". It matches the Rfam family "TPP riboswitch aptamer (THI element)", at positions 7 to 92 of the family's 105-position model. Rfam says of the family: Vitamin B(1) in its active form thiamin pyrophosphate (TPP) is an essential coenzyme that is synthesised by coupling of pyrimidine and thiazole moieties in bacteria. The previously detected thiamin-regulatory element, thi box was extended, resulting in a new, highly conserved RNA secondary structure, the THI element, which is widely distributed in eubacteria and also occurs in some archaea. The record is from RNAcentral. RNAcentral also lists the same sequence under 1 other name. Lineage: Bacteria; Pseudomonadati; Pseudomonadota; Alphaproteobacteria; Sphingomonadales; Sphingomonadaceae.